GACGAACGCUGGCGGCGUGCCUAACACAUGCAAGUCGAACGGGACCGGGGGCAACUCCGGUUCAGUGGCGGACGGGUGCGUAACACGUGAGGAACAUGACUUUCGGUGGGGGAUAGCCGGCCCAACGGCCGGGUAAUACCGCGUACGACCUUUCGGGGACAUCCCCGGUUGGUGAAAGCAGCAAUGCGCCGAAAGAGUGCCUCGCGGCCUAUCAGCUAGUUGGUGGGGUAAUGGCCCACCAAGGCGACGACGGGUAGCUGGUCUGAGAGGAUGGCCAGCCACAUUGGGACUGAGACACGGCCCAGACUCCUACGGGAGGCAGCAGUGGGGAAUAUUGCGCAAUGGGCGAAAGCCUGACGCAGCGACGCCGCGUGUGGGAUGACGGCCAUCGGGUUGUAAACCACUGUCGGGAGGGACGAAUGCCCCGCAAGGGGAGUGACGGUACCUCCAAAGGAAGCACCGGCUAACUCCGUGC
Molecule: ribosomal RNA, 475 nt
Filed under: uncultured bacterium
Lineage: Bacteria
Description: bacterial SSU rRNA
Rfam family: Bacterial small subunit ribosomal RNA
Source: RNAcentral